Molecule: ribosomal RNA, 270 nt
Filed under: uncultured bacterium
Lineage: Bacteria
Description: partial 16S ribosomal RNA
Rfam family: Bacterial small subunit ribosomal RNA
Source: RNAcentral
UUUGAUGGCGACCGGCGCACGGGUGAGUAACACGUAUCCAACCUGCCGAUGACUCGGGGAUAGCCUUUCGAAAGAAAGAUUAAUACCCGAUGGCAUAGUUCUUCCGCAUGGUAGAACUAUUAAAGAAUUUCGGUCAUCGAUGGGGAUGCGUUCCAUUAGGUUGUUGGCGGGGUAACGGCCCACCAAGCCUUCGAUGGAUAGGGGUUCUGAGAGGAAGAUCCCCCACAUUGGAACUGAGACACGGUCCAAACUCCUACGGGAGGCAGCAUG